Long non-coding RNA from Lates calcarifer (barramundi perch), 365 nucleotides. RefSeq lists it as uncharacterized. The record is from RefSeq and is a predicted model, not a curated record. The transcript is spliced from 3 exons. Lineage: Eukaryota; Metazoa; Chordata; Actinopteri; Centropomidae.
GUUUUUGCCUGCCCAGUUUGACCUCCUACUUAUUUUUGGACUGAGCCGUUGCCUGGUUCUCUUGCCUGUUGAUCACUACCCACUUCCUGACUUCACCUCCUGCUUGUUCUUACCUGCUUUUGUUUGCUCGGCUUAAUAAAGUUUUGGAGAAUCAAGCUUCAGAGUCAAGAGUCAGCAUGACAGCAUCUACAGGAUACUGGCAUCACCUCAGGUCAACAACAGUUAACACUCCUCCAUUAAGACAGCUGGGAGGAAACGGAGAAGAAAGUGAUAGCAAAGAAGACAAAGAGGGGACUCCUUGACAGCAUCCCUGAGUGGCAGUUUGAAGCAUUUAACUUGACGCAAGUUAAUAAAAAGUGCUCAGA